GGAUUGUUUGCAAAAUGCAAUUUAAACAGAUCGCAUUUUAUGGCUUGCCAUUUACCGUAGUAGUAAAUAGCAAAUAGGCAGUUGUGCCUACGUGUAUUUGCUGAUCUGUCAGACACUGGAAAUAAGCCCAGUACAUUAUCCCUUUAAAACCAGGACACGCAUUCAUUCUCAGGGAGAGGCAUUACGUUUUUAUUGAAAACGACAAACCACUGCAGCUGGGGUGAACAACAGAGGGGGCUCCUUUCAUUACCAUUUAACAUAUGCAUACAUGUUUUUCAGAGUGAGUGCCAGGAUUCGCUUAGCCGUCCUCUGCCAUGUGUCAGACUGAUACUGCAAGAAGGCACUUGCAAGUUGCUGGCCUCUCAAUCUUGGACUUUCCAGCCUCCUAAACUGUGAGCUAAUAAAUUUCUGUUCAUUAUAAAUGACCCAGUCUCAGGUAUUCUGUUACAGCAACAAUGAGUGGACUAAGACAGCAGUCAAGCUAGAAUUAGCAUAUACAAACAAACAUGCAAUCAGCAUUAAAAAUAAGAAUAAUUACUGAUCCCAAUUUUCAGAUGCUCAGGUUGGUAGUAUAUACAUAGAUAAAGUCCUUUUUUGCAGUUUAGGCUAUAUAUAAACACCUACCAGGUAAGUAAAACAGAAUUUCAUAUUUUUGUCUAGUAUCCAAUGCAGCAACAUAGAUUCAGUUAUGCCUAAUGUAUGUGGGUGUGCAUUUUGGGAAAAAAUAUACAUUGUUUGUGAAGAUGAGAGAACUCUGUUCCAGUGAAGAUUGCUUAAACACUAUCAAAAAGAAAAAGUUCUAGAGAAUUUUUCACACGUUGUUCUAUUUGACAAUCUAGAAAUAGACCCCAAAUAUAAAGUCAGCUAAGUGGUAAUUAAGAACCAAGAA
RNAcentral lists this long non-coding RNA (889 nucleotides) under Papio anubis (olive baboon). RNAcentral describes it as "lncRNA (ENSPANG00000039516.1)". Lineage: Eukaryota; Metazoa; Chordata; Mammalia; Primates; Cercopithecidae. The record is from RNAcentral.